GUAACAGAUAUGAAAGGAGUAUCCCAGAAUUGUCAGGCAUUGUGCAAAAUUGAAGACCACAAUUAGACUAAGGAAAUAAAAUUUAAAAUCUAUGGUUGCAAUUUGACAUAACAUUUGGCAACUUGAAACGCCUUGUCACAGAAAUCAUCUCCAGCUGAAAUAACAAUUUCUUAUCAGCCUUGAAACUUGAAGAAUUUUCAUUGAUCUUAAGGGAUCGAAUUGAUCAACAACAAAAAUUGGAAAAAUGGAAACGAAAAGAAAAAUACUCACAAAGGGACUUGCAUCUUCGGAAUAUCUCCCACGAGGAUUGUUGUAUAAAUCUUGGACUUUUUAUUUCGGGAGGACAGAAUACGGCGAACGAACAAUUUCAUGGUUCUCGAGGACAAUAGGAACUCUUGUGCACUCUCGAAAACGAGAGCUGUGCAAGGUAUUAUACGUGUACGCGAUGCAAUAUAAUGGCCGUAACAUUCGUUGGGCGUAACGAAUUUAGAGAAAGAGAACCUACCAACCAAAUUAAAUCACAUCUACAUACAUAUAUACGGUAAAUAAGUAAGUAACUCUUUGCCAUUAAAACAUUAUGGUAAUUUUUUCUUAAUUGACUAUACAGAACUUUCAUUCGUGCUUUAUUUUAUCUCAUGACACUUUAUAUAUUUCGUGGAAAAAUAUAUUUAAAUUAAUAAAUUAUAUAUAUAUAAUUUUCUCUUCAUCGUCGUGUGCUUUAAAGAUCAACGUUUCGCAAUUAGAUUGUUAAAAAAUUUGGUGAAGCAUAGAUUAUCGAUGAAAAACAUACCAAAAGAGCCAAAAU
This 805-nucleotide long non-coding RNA is filed under the name Polistes fuscatus (common paper wasp). RNAcentral's name for it is "uncharacterized LOC122515071". The record is from RNAcentral. Lineage: Eukaryota; Metazoa; Arthropoda; Insecta; Hymenoptera; Vespidae.